Molecule: ribosomal RNA, 201 nt
Filed under: Archaeoattacus edwardsii
Lineage: Eukaryota; Metazoa; Arthropoda; Insecta; Lepidoptera; Saturniidae
Description: partial 12S ribosomal RNA
Source: RNAcentral
UUUUUUAAAUUUUUUUUAACCGCCAACGGGGGGCCCAAAAAUUUGUUUUUUAUUUCCCCCUACAAAAAUUUUAUUUUUUAAAUUUUUUUAUUAAAUACCCCCAUAAAAAAUUUAUAAUUUUUUAAAAUUUUUAAAAUUCCCCCCAAAAAUUUUUUGGAAAAAAAGGUUUUAAAAAAAUUUUUUAACCCAAAAAAAAUUUUU